GAUGAAGAACGUACCGAAAUGCGAUACGUAAUGUGAAUUGCAGAAUUCAGUGAAUCAUCGAAUCUUUGAACGCAUAUUGCGCUCUCUGGUAUUCCGGAGAGCAUGCUUGUUUGAGUAUCAGUAAACACCUCAACUUCCAUAUCUUUUUUUGAAAUGGGAGUUGGACUUGAGUGAUCCCAACGCUUUUCCUCACCGAAAAGUGGCGGGUUACUUGAAAUGCAGGUGCAGCUGGACUUUUCUCUGAGCUAUAAGCAUAUCUAUUUAGUCUGCCUAAAAAACAGAUUAUUACCUUUGCUGCAGCUAACAUAAAGGAGAUUAGUUCUUGUGCUGACUGAUGCAGGAUUCACAAAGACAGCUUCGGCCGACUUUGUAAACUCGAUCUCAAAUCAAGUAAGACUACCCGCUGAACUUAAGCAUAUCAAUAAGCGGAGGA
This 433-nucleotide unclassified non-coding RNA is filed under the name soil metagenome. RNAcentral describes it as "partial contains 5.8S ribosomal RNA, internal transcribed spacer 2, and large subunit ribosomal RNA". The stretch from base 1 to 120 matches the Rfam family "5.8S ribosomal RNA", at positions 35 to 154 of the family's 154-position model. The record is from RNAcentral.